This 775-nucleotide long non-coding RNA is filed under the name Homo sapiens (human). Its description in RNAcentral is "HSALNT0230557". Lineage: Eukaryota; Metazoa; Chordata; Mammalia; Primates; Hominidae. The record is from RNAcentral.
CGCUUCUUAGAAAGGAAUAGGCCCUGUCACUUCCCAGGUAGCUUUCAGCAGCCCCUACCACCUCUCCCACCUACCUUCGACAGAGUUGCUUGCCAGCCUUCUCAGCUGGGGCUUCCUGGCAACUACACCUUGCCAGGGCUUGCAGCCCAGCAGCAUGGCAGGGGCUAAUGGCCACAGGGUUGUCAUGGGAAGCACCAGAGGGCCACAGGAUCCCUAGCCUGGGCCUGUCUCUAGGUAACCUCAGAAUGCAGGCAUGGAAGAGGAUCAACCCCUUGUCGGGCAGCAGAGGAGACUGAGGCAAAGAGAAGAAACCUUUCUGAUGUGCUCCUCCUCACUGGACCUUUCUUGUCCAGCUUCCCUUCCAUGGCCCACACCAGGAGGCAGCAACUGGCUGGCUGUGCACAAGGAUGGAAAUGGAUUACACCAGGGUGUGCACUGACCCAGGGACCAUGCGUCCAAAUGCUGGUCGACUUCCCCCAGGGUGGAAAAUGGCUUCUGACAGACCUGGGCCUGGCAUCCCACGAUUCCCACCACCACAGAGGAACUCCCCAGGAGUGACUUGGACUGGCAUAGGUUGGGCCGGCUGUCGGCCCUGGCCAGGAAGCCUGAGUGCAUCUAGUAUGCAGCCUGCGCCAGGUACCCCUCCCCGGACCUGUGUGCCCAGGAUGCCAUGUGCUGGAGCCUGGCAGGGGAGGGAGAAGGGAGUGGAGUGACCCCAGCCCCACCCCACUGUCCCACUGCAGGGCAGUGGAUUCCCGGCCUCUUACUGGUCCUG